UGUCUGCAGACGCCAUCAUGUGUGCGCUCCCACGUGCAUGAGGUUAGAAGCUAGGUGGAGGGCAGUCAAGGUCUGGGGGCACCUCACAGAGGGGUGCAAACCAGGGUGGGGUAGAAACAUGGUAAAGAACCAAUGGUGGAGUCGCCAUUGUGGCGCAAGGGAUUAGCGGCACCUUGGGAGUGCUGGGUUGCAGGUUCAAUCCCCAGCCCAGUACAGUGGGUUGGGGAUCUGGCAUUGCCACAGCUGCAGCUUAGGUCACAACAGUGGCUUGGAUCUGAUCCCUGGCCCAGGAACUCCAUAUGCCACAGGGGCAACCAAAAAAAAAAAAAGAAAGAAAAAGAACCAAUGGUAAUCCUGGUAAUCCAGGGAAUGGACAGCCAGAGCUCCACAGCCUGCCCCCUCUAGUCAGCCCAGCAUUCCACCUCCUGCCUGACACUGGCACAUAUGUGAUCUGUGAUCAUGCAGCUGGGCUGCAGGAAUCAACCAUUCAAGACCUUUCUUCCCAGGCUGCUCCCUGAGGCCACUCUCUGACAUGAAGGCACACCACUAUCUUCUCCAGAAUCCAGGAGACUGGACUGUCUUCAGAAAACCUGUCUAUAGCACAGUAUGUGGAAUCCUCUUUGAAACCAACAUCCCGUUGGAAAAAAAUAUAUUAACUGGCCUUCAUCACAUGUCUGAAAGUUGCUCUGUGAACUGGAUCACUGGUCUAAACCUGGAUUCAUGUGUAGAGGUGGGGCCAGCCCAGUGGGGCAGAACCACCACUGACCAGCCUCCUCCUCAUGGUAAUUCAGGGGAUAUGUAGGUGAACCCCAGACCCUGAGUAAUUACUACCCUGUGGGGGAUUUCCAGCCCUGAUGUGAAACAAGGAACCAAGACUUCUUCAGAGUCUACAAGGCUCCUGGCUCACUGCUCCCUUUUCUCCAUGCACCAAGGGCUCCCAUUCCACCCCAAAUCCCCAAUCUCUCAGUAAUUAAGCUGGACCCGUGCAGCCCUGAUGGCAAAGGGGAAAGCCUGCACUUCUGAGUCCAAGCACUGGUGAGAACCAAGGGCAGUAAGCCAGGGUAGGCUCACCCCAGCAUGCCUCUCACAGGAUCACUACUUGUUGGGUUCCUCCAGGGUCCAAAGUCCUUUCCUUCCUUUCUUGAAACCCCACUUAACAGAUAAGGAAACUAAGGGUCCAGGAAGGUAAUGGGAGUCCAGCAGUCAACACGCCUCUAAAAGGUAAUGGAGCAUGGUUUUUUACCUUAGUUUGGCGCAAGGUCUGUCCGUCACACACAGCCCAGCUGGUGCUUUACUAGGUGGGAUGAAGGAGGGCACCCAGAUGCCACCAGGCUGGUGACAUUGGCACCUGGCCCACAUAUUCUCCCAGCAGGGAAAUGCACAGGUUACAAAGUGUUCCUGAAGCCACACGGGGCCAGUGGCUUCAUGCCUAGCAGCAUCUAUGAAUGGUCUCUCAGCUACCUCUGCCUUCCCCACCCCCAUGGUGCACUAGAACCAGAGCCAGAGAUCUCCACACCCAACCACAACAGUAGGGGCUUCAGCCCACCCCCAACGCUUGCCCUGAGCUUCACGCUAUUGGUAAACAACAAUGACACUGGAGCCUCCUCCCUGCCAGGCCCUGGGAAUGGCACACAAUGAGGGUAGACUGGCCAUCCCCACCCCUGACCACACUGUGACCCUGCAUCCAGGCAGCAUAGCCCACACCAACACCUUCAGUGGGCUCAAGGGCCACCCGGGCAGCAGUAAAAACUAGUUCACUUUAAAACCAACCAUGUGGAAGCCACUUUUUUUUUUAAGCAGAACAGUCUAGACUAGAAUUUACAAAAACCACUUAACUCAAAAGACUUUGGAAGUGUUCAACAGCAAGCAAGCUGUCCUUCCAAACCAAAACAUGCACAGAUGGCACCCAGAAGAAAGCAAACCUCUGAGGCUUUCAAGGUGCUGAGCAUUCUAAGGCCAUCCUUGGCUGAGUCACCCUGCCCUGCGUCACACAGUGGGUGUCGGUCAUGUCCGCUGAGGGCGUGCAGGUGGAUAAAUGAAAGGGGCUUUGCCAGGCAAGUGUGUAUCUGUGAUUUAGUCCCAGCCUCACUCUUUUCAGCCACGGCAAGUCUUCCUGCUUCUGAGGAGCUUCAUACAUGUUCCCAAGGUAGGUGCCAUUCUGUGACUCUAACUGCCUCUACUGCAGGUCAAUGCAAACUGCAGGUCAAUGCAAGAGGUAGUGCCUGCAUUCCCCAGAAAGCCUGGCAGUACCAGCCCAUGUCCCACCCCAUCUCCUUGAGCAAGGAAAAUAAGUCAAGAGUCAGUAAGUCAAGAUCGUAAGUGCCUUGAUCCUACCUUUUAGCUCAGAAGGUGCAGCCUCCUGGCCCUGCUCUGCCUUGCCUGGUCCCAUAGCUGGGGAGGAGUCAGGAGACCUCCCUCAGGCAUAUGUCACACUAGAGCUCUGCCUGGCAAAGCCACCUUCCUGUGGCAAAACCCCAUGGGACCUUGUACCCACAGGGGCAAAGUCUCUCGUGCACUGCUUCUGAGAGGAAGAAUGAUGUUGGGGUGGGGGCUGUGUCUCAGCUGUUGCCACCAAGCUCACCACUUGCAAAAACACAAAAGCACUUCCUCAUCAGUGGGGCCCAUCUGCUCCCCAGGAGCGCACACAGCUCCAGGAUGGCCACUGCCUGCAUGGCCCUGACUGUGUACACUCACAGCCUGCAGAGCACCCAUGGCCUGAGCUGCCAACUGCAUCUGCAACUCGGCCCAGGACAGUAACUGGAGCUCCCCAUCAGCACAUGGGCAUGAGCGGCUGCCAUCUAUGGGACCUCUGCGAAAGGCCUGUAGAGGAGAGAGAAGCUUGCAGACAGGAGGGGGUGGGUGGGAUAGUGUAGUGUGUGGGAGAGCUUUCCUCUCCACAGCAGUGGCUCUCAAGCUGUCCCUCUCAACAGUCCUAGCUGCUCUUCUCAACAAAAUUCAAACUCUCCUGACCUCUGAGUCACAUCAAUAUACAAUUCUUGUUGUAAUUCAGCCCUUUCUGAGAGCACAAGAGCUCUCAACAUGUCAUCUGGGAAUUGGUUCAUUACUACAACUGUAAAGUCAAAAAGCCAAGUGGAGCAUUUUCCUUCAGUAUCUGUGCUUGAAGAAAAAGGUCCAGUUGGCAGUGCACCUGAUGACAGAGACCACACCAGUGGCGUUUCCUCCCUCCCAGCCUUGCUCUCAUUGGAACAGCCAGUAAGAAUACCAGCUGAGCAAGAUAAGACGCCUAUGGGAGGGGUGUGCACAGCGCUUGGCCCACUUGUAUGCAGACUAUAGUUAAUCCAAACUGAGAACGAGCCAGCUUUUUAGGAAGUGACAGGGGCCAAGCUCCAAGAGAAUGUUAAGUGAAACAGUGAAGUGACAGCAGUGCACUCCCAAGUUGCCAAUGAAAACACCUGGCACUGGGGCUGGACAGAGAAGCAGUUAGCUCAGACUCGGCCUCCAAUGCUGGCCCAAUUAAGACUUAGAGCAAUACUGGCCACCAACCUGAGUCCAGCUCCUCCUCUAUGAGCUGGGAAGCCUGGGUGGAAUGUUGGGAAAACCAGAGAUCAUGUU
This 3573-nucleotide long non-coding RNA is filed under the name Sus scrofa (pig). Its description in RNAcentral is "lncRNA (ENSSSCG00005035359.1)". Lineage: Eukaryota; Metazoa; Chordata; Mammalia; Artiodactyla; Suidae. The record is from RNAcentral.